GAUGAAGAACGCAGCGAAAUGCGAUAAGUAAUGUGAAUUGCAGAAUUCAGUGAAUCAUCGAAUCUUUGAACGCACAUUGCGCCCGCCAGUAUUCUGGCGGGCAUGCCUGUUCGAGCGUCAUUACAACCCUCAGGCCCCCGGGCCUGGCGUUGGGGAUCGGCGGAGCCCCCCGUGGGCACACGCCGUCCCCCAAAUGCAGUGGCGGUCCCGCCGCAGCUUCCAUCGCGUAGUAGCAAACACCUCGCGACUGGAGAGCGGCGCGGCCACGCCGUAAAACACCCAACUCUUCUGAAGUUGACCUCGAAUCAGGUAGGAAUACCCGCUGAACUUAAGCAUAUCAAUAAGCGGAGGA
This 352-nucleotide unclassified non-coding RNA is filed under the name soil metagenome. RNAcentral's name for it is "partial contains 5.8S ribosomal RNA, internal transcribed spacer 2, and large subunit ribosomal RNA". The stretch from base 1 to 120 matches the Rfam family "5.8S ribosomal RNA", at positions 35 to 154 of the family's 154-position model. The record is from RNAcentral.